RNAcentral lists this ribosomal RNA (253 nucleotides) under uncultured bacterium. RNAcentral describes it as "partial 16S ribosomal RNA". It matches the Rfam family "Bacterial small subunit ribosomal RNA", at positions 524 to 776 of the family's 1533-position model. The record is from RNAcentral.
UACGUAGGGGGCUAGCGUUGUCCGGAAUCAUUGGGCGUAAAGAGCGUGUAGGCGGCCCGGUAAGUCCGCUGUGAAAGUCAAAGGCUCAACCUUUGAAAGCCGGUGGAUACUGUGGGGCUAGAGUCCGGAAGAGGCGAGUGGAAUUCCUGGUGUAGCGGUGGAAUGCGCAGAUAUCAGGAGGAACACCAAUAGCGAAGGCAGCUCGCUGGGACGGUACUGACGCUAAGGCGCGAAAGCGUGGGGAGCGAACAGG